Molecule: ribosomal RNA, 253 nt
Filed under: uncultured bacterium
Lineage: Bacteria
Description: partial 16S ribosomal RNA
Rfam family: Bacterial small subunit ribosomal RNA
Source: RNAcentral
UACAGAGGUCUCAAGCGUUGUUCGGAUUCAUUGGGCGUAAAGGGUGCGUAGGCGGCGCGGUAAGUCGGGUGUGAAAUCUCGGAGCUUAACUCCGAAACUGCAUUCGAUACUGCCGUGCUUGAGGACUGGAGAGGAGACUGGAAUUUACGGUGUAGCGGUGAAAUGCGUAGAUAUCGUAAGGAAGACCAGUGACGAAGGCGGCCAUCUGGACGACAACUGACGCUGAGACGCGAAAGCGUGGGGAGCAAACAGG